ACAACAGAAACACGAUACCCACUCGAAUUGCCUUCAACAAUUUGACCGCAGUUGCAAAAUACCAUGGUUUUAGGUCGAGGUGAAUUUAUCAGCUCCGGCAUCCAAAGCAGGUACAGGAGAUGGGCACGAAGGAACACAAUCCAAAAGGUAACCCCCGCACACCACACCGAAUGUUGUAGCAGCACACUGUGGGUAGGCACCACCUUCUAGACCGAUCACAGCAUGUGCACGGAGAGCAUUGGCGGAAGUCGCCGAGUAUUCGUCGAGUGGAAUUCAUGAUAUGCUUGUGAAGAGUGUCAGAGGCUGGGAAGAGCUGCAACUCAGUCCCAUUCGAGAGUUUCACCAC
This 346-nucleotide long non-coding RNA is filed under the name Physcomitrium patens. RNAcentral describes it as "long non-coding RNA (PPAT_LNC004839)". Lineage: Eukaryota; Viridiplantae; Streptophyta; Bryopsida; Funariales; Funariaceae. The record is from RNAcentral.